AUUGAACGCUGGCGGCAGGCCUAACCCAUGCAAGUCGAACGUGUCGCGGCCGGGUGCGUUAUUUCUGGGACACUGCCUGAUGGUGGGGGCUCACUACUGCAAACGUUAGCUAAUACCGCCUACCAUCAUAUGUGCCCAUAUGGGAUUAGCUAGUUGGUGGGGUAACGGCUCAACAGGGCGACGAUCCCUAGCUGGUCUGCGAGGAUGACCAUCCACACGGGAACUGAGACACGGUCCAGACUCCUACGGGAGGCAGCAGUGGGGAAUAUUGCACAAUGGGCGAAAGCCUGAUGCAGCCGUGCCGCGUGUAUGAAGAAGGCCUUCGGGUUGUAAAGUACUUUAAGCGGGGAGGCGAUAAACGAAGAAGAAGGACCGGCUAACUCCGUGCCAGCAGCCGCGGUAAUUC
Molecule: ribosomal RNA, 406 nt
Filed under: uncultured bacterium
Lineage: Bacteria
Description: partial 16S ribosomal RNA
Rfam family: Bacterial small subunit ribosomal RNA
Source: RNAcentral